RNAcentral lists this ribosomal RNA (565 nucleotides) under uncultured Glomus. RNAcentral's name for it is "SSU rRNA". It matches the Rfam family "Eukaryotic small subunit ribosomal RNA", at positions 546 to 1106 of the family's 1831-position model. The record is from RNAcentral. Lineage: Eukaryota; Fungi; Glomeromycota; Glomeromycetes; Glomerales; Glomeraceae.
AAUUGGAGGGCAAGUCUGGUGCCAGCAGCCGCGGUAAUUCCAGCUCCAAUAGCGUAUAUUAAAGUUGUUGCAGUUAAAAAGCUCGUAGUUGAAUUUCGGGAUUGACGUGAUGGUUGUGCCUUAAGGGGUAUGAACUGUUGCUGUUGAUUUCUCACCUUCUGGAGAAACUUGAUGUCCUUAAUUGGGUGUCUUGCGGAUCCAGGACCUUUACCUUGAAAAAAUUAGAGUGUUUAAAGCAGGCAUUCUGCUCGAAUACAUUAGCAUGGAAUAAUAGAAUAGGACGGCAUGGUUCUAUUUUGUUGGUUUCUAGGAUCACCGUAAUGAUUAAUAGGGAUAGUUGGGGGCAUUAGUAUUCAAUUGUCAGAGGUGAAAUUCUUGGAUUUAUUGAAGACUAACUACUGCGAAAGCAUUUGCCAAGGAUGUUUUCAUUAAUCAAGAACGAAAGUUAGGGGAUCGAAGACGAUCAGAUACCGUCGUAGUCUUAACCAUAAACUAUGCCGACUAGGAAUCAGACGAUGUUAAUUUUUUAAUGACUCGUUUGGCACCUUACGGGAAACCAAAGUGU